AGUCGCUGAAGCAAGAGGAAAACCCUAAGAUCCUUGUUAACAGCUUCCAAGAGCUUGAACAAGAAGCUCUAACCUCGGUUCUUGAUAACUUCAAGAUUGUCCCUAUCGGUCCGUUGAUAACCUCGAAGACCAACUCCGAGACUAACGCUGAGUACGUCGAGUGGUUGGAUACAAAAGCAGAUUCUUCCGUGCUUUAUAUCUCGUUUGGGACGCUUGCCGUGUUGAGCAAGAAACAGCUUGUGGAGCUCUGCAAGGCGUUGAUAGAGAGUCGGAGGCCGUUUCUGUGGGUGAUUACGGAUAAGUCGUACAGAAGAAGUAAAGAAGAUGUGGAAGAGAAAGAAGAAGAGAGCGUCGUAUGCUCUCCAAAGAAACCGUCCUCGAAAACCUUACCUUCGCCACUUACUCCGAUGGCCAUGACGACGGCUUCAGACCCUCUACAUCCUCCGAUAAAUCUCGCCAACAUAGCUCCCGACAGUACCUGUCCGAAAUGAGACAGCGUGGGAGAGAAACCCUAACCGAACUAAUCGAAGAUAACCGGCGUCAAAACCGGCCUUUUACCUGCGUGGUUUACACCAUCCUCCUCACUUGGGUCGCUGAGCUGGCGCGUGAGUUUCAGAUCCCUUCUGCUCUUCUCUGGGUCCAGCCCGUUACGGUCUUCUCCAUCUUCUACCACUACUUCAACGGCUACGCCGAUACAAUCUCAGAGAUGGCUGAUAACAACCCUUCUGGUACUAUUAAGCUUCCCUCUCUGCCACUGCUCCGUCUCCGUGAUCUUCCCUCCUUCAUCGUCCCUACAAACGCAUAUGCGUUUGUUCUACCGGCGUUUCGAGAACAGAUAGAGUCGCUGAAGCAAGAGGAAAACCCUAAGAUCCUUGUUAACAGCUUCCAAGAGCUUGAACAAGAAGCUCUAACCUCGGUUCUUGAUAACUUCAAGAUUGUCCCUAUCGGUCCGUUGAUAACCUCGAAGACCAACUCCGAGACUAACGCUGAGUACGUCGAGUGGUUGGAUACAAAAGCAGAUUCUUCCGUGCUUUAUAUCUCGUUUGGGACGCUUGCCGUGUUGAGCAAGAAACAGCUUGUGGAGCUCUGCAAGGCG
RNAcentral lists this long non-coding RNA (1096 nucleotides) under Brassica napus (rape). RNAcentral describes it as "long non-coding RNA (BNAP_LNC000390)". The record is from RNAcentral. Lineage: Eukaryota; Viridiplantae; Streptophyta; Magnoliopsida; Brassicales; Brassicaceae.